Molecule: long non-coding RNA, 1239 nt
Filed under: Capra hircus (goat)
Lineage: Eukaryota; Metazoa; Chordata; Mammalia; Artiodactyla; Bovidae
Description: lncRNA (ENSCHIG00010009319.1)
Source: RNAcentral
AGCAGAGAGAGGAAGCAGCAGAGGCAGCGCCAGGCAAAGCCCAGGGAAGUGGCUGCAGAGGCCCCAGGGCCAAGGCAGGGCAGCCCUGGGUGGUGGGUUAACAAGACUUUGUCCUGGGCACUUGAGUGGGGCCUGGGGUGGCCAGGCAAUGUUACAAGCGGUGACACAGCUGAUUCAGAGGAAGCACAGUGGAGGCAGGAAAGGGAAGACGGUGGAGGCAGGGCUGUCAGUCAGAGAGGAAAAGAGGACCAAGGUCUGAGCUGUGGGGGAAGGCACACCAGGAGCAGGGGAGAUUAUCUCAGAGUCAGAUGGAGGGGGAAACCCGGAGAGGAUGUCGGAGGGGACUUGGGUCCUUACUGCAGGAUCAGGGUGAUGGUGAGCUCCAAGCAUCAGCUGGUACGAACAUGGGCUGAAGAAUACUGGCCAGACUUCUGCCCUCAGUCCAGAGGCCUCUCCAGCUCAGCUCAGGGGGGGGACUCUGGUCAGGCGCAGCCUCAGCUCAGAUGCAGUAGGGGGGCAGGAGAUGGAGGGGAGAAGUCACUCCUUCCCAAAGGCGAGCUUUUCGUGGCUCUCAUACAGUCGCUUCAUUAGAUCACAAAGCAUUAAGCAUCUAUGAGCACAGACAAAAGCUGUCUUGCUUACUACUAGGUUUGCUAUUUUAGGUUUGAGGAAUUUACCCUCUUAAUAGCAGAGGGAAGUUUCUUAAGGGAGCUUUGCUACUUUUCAAAAUGCAAGAAAAAAAUAGCUUUUGAUACAAUAUUCCCUCGGUAUUACCUUUUGUUCAAAGAGGGGAUGGAGGGGUCAAAAAGUAACAGUGAAAAGAAAAAGGGACAAAGCUUUACUUUCUUCUCUUGUAAAGACGAAUCUGUGCUUUGUGGAUGCUGCACCCCCCAUGCCAAGUGAGCAACACUGUGAUGCAUGUGACCCCAGUCACAUGAACACUUUCCACGAGGACAACAGGGCAUUUGAGAUGAUGGACAUGGCUGGAAGAGGUCACGUCAGUUCUCCCAUGAUGGGCAGGAACUUGGAGGCAGAACUAGGGAAAGGAAGUUCUAAGAGACGGCUGAGAUGAAGAUGAAGCUCUACAGGAGGUGGCCCAGAGGCUCAGAGCCACCAGGGCUUCAAGCAAGACAAGUGAAAUCCACCCCACCAGAGAGCAUUCAUGGUCCCUGGUAAACAGCAGGCACUCAAGCAUACAUGAGUAUGGGGGCCACACCACUGGAUUCUAAGGGCUACAAA